Molecule: long non-coding RNA, 247 nt
Filed under: Phaseolus vulgaris (common bean)
Lineage: Eukaryota; Viridiplantae; Streptophyta; Magnoliopsida; Fabales; Fabaceae
Description: long non-coding RNA (PVUL_LNC004970)
Source: RNAcentral
UUAACUUCAGAAACUAGACUUUUCCCUCUCUCCCUCUGCAAACACUUCACAAACCCUUUCUUCAUCUUCAUGAACGAAUCCCUUUUUUCACCUCUUCGCGAAACACUCUUCCCUUCAAUGUCGCUCUUCACUCUGGCCUUCACUCACUCUUCCUUUCAAUGUCUUCUCACUCUCGCGUCCCCAAAACCUAACCCUCACUCUCGCGCCCUAAACCUAAUCCUCAAUCUCGUGCCCUUCACUGUCCGCC